GCCGGCAGCUAGCUCUCUGCAACUCUCACAUGGUCGCCCACUGAAGCUAAGCAGGGUUGUGCCUGGUUAAUACCUGGAUGGGAGACCAAAUGGGAAAGCUAGGUUGCUGCCAGAA
This 115-nucleotide ribosomal RNA is filed under the name Danio rerio (zebrafish). The record is from RNAcentral. Lineage: Eukaryota; Metazoa; Chordata; Actinopteri; Cypriniformes; Danionidae.